This 324-nucleotide unclassified non-coding RNA is filed under the name uncultured Glomeraceae. RNAcentral describes it as "partial contains 5.8S ribosomal RNA, internal transcribed spacer 2, and large subunit ribosomal RNA". The stretch from base 1 to 102 matches the Rfam family "5.8S ribosomal RNA", at positions 53 to 154 of the family's 154-position model. The record is from RNAcentral. Lineage: Eukaryota; Fungi; Glomeromycota; Glomeromycetes; Glomerales; Glomeraceae.
GUGCGAUAAGUAAUGUGAAUUGCAGUAUUCCGUGAAUCAUCGAAUCUUUGAACGCAUAUUGCACUUUCUGGUAUUCCGGAAAGUAUGCCUGUUUGAGGGUCAGUUAAAUAAAAAUCGGUGUUGUUGCCGCUUUUCGUGGUGACGCGUCGGAAUUGAGUCGUCUUCGGUUAAGUGACUUAAAAUUUUAUAUGAUUUUCGAACGUAUUUAAAUUUAUUUGAACGUUUGAUAUCGAAUGCUUAUUAGGUUCGGUCAUCCUCAUGACUCGCGCCUAUAAUUUUUCAUUAAAUGACCUCAAAUCAGGUAAGAAUACCCGCUGAACUUAA